Molecule: ribosomal RNA, 219 nt
Filed under: uncultured bacterium
Lineage: Bacteria
Description: partial 16S ribosomal RNA
Rfam family: Bacterial small subunit ribosomal RNA
Source: RNAcentral
GAUGAACGCUGGCGGCGUGCCUAAUACAUGCAAGUCGAACGCACAGCGAAAAGUGCUUGCACCUUUCAAGUGAGUGGCGAACGGGUGAGUAACACGUGGACAACCUGCCUCAAGGCUGGGGAUAACAUUUGGAAACAGAUGCUAAUACCGAAUAAAACUCAGUGUCGCAUGACGCAAAGUUAAAAGGCGCUUUGGCGUCACCUAGAGAUGGAUCCGCGG